UACGUAGGAGACGAGCGUUGUCCGGAGUUACUGGGCGUAAAGGGUGCGCAGGUGGCCGCGCGCGUGGGGAGUGAAAUCGCCUGGCUUAACUGGGCGGGGGCUUUCCAGACGGCGUGGCUUGAGCCACAGAGGGGGGCGUGGAAUCCCGGGUGGAGCGGUGAAAUGCGUAGAUAUCUGGAGGAAUACCGGUGGCGAAGGCGGCAUCCUGGACCGGCAUUGACGCUGAGGAGCGAAAGCCAGGGGAGCAAACGGG
This 253-nucleotide ribosomal RNA is filed under the name uncultured bacterium. Its description in RNAcentral is "partial 16S ribosomal RNA". It matches the Rfam family "Bacterial small subunit ribosomal RNA", at positions 524 to 776 of the family's 1533-position model. The record is from RNAcentral.